Long non-coding RNA from Neofelis nebulosa (Clouded leopard), 4804 nucleotides. RefSeq lists it as uncharacterized. Lineage: Eukaryota; Metazoa; Chordata; Mammalia; Carnivora; Felidae. The record is from RefSeq and is a predicted model, not a curated record. The transcript is spliced from 2 exons.
CAUGUAUUGGUUAAAAAAUAAAUAAAUAAAGGGGGAGGGAGAAGUUUUCAACGUCAUUUCAGGAUAACUAUUUCCUGGUAUAAAAAGACAUUAUUCUCAAACAAUAACUGUCUAAAAAAAAAAAAAAAUACAUCAUGCAAAGUUUUAAAAAGUUUCACUGAAUGUUUCAAAACUCUGGGAACAGAUUGUAUAGUAACCAUUUUGACCAGUUUUUGCCGAAGAAACACAAAACCUUGCAAGUCAACUCAAAGGCAGGCUUUGCGGCAAAGGCCUGCUGACCACAGCCCAGACUUUCUUCUUUCUUUUUCAUUUACACAUCCAUCCCCAUGGCUAGCAACAUUUGUUCAAUGAGUUACAGAAUUCCUGAGGUUAUUGGCGUCUACCUGUCUCCCUCUACUUUUAUUUUUUAGCAAAGAACUAUGUUUAGGGUGAUUACGAUUCAGAACUAUUUGAAGAGUAUGUUGAAUUAGGUAAUACUUAGCAGUCACUUUAAACCUUGUAAUUCAAAUCAAUGUUAUUACUCUCAUAAAGCAAUUAAUUCAUUGUUUCUUUUUGGAGAAACUUGUAACUUUCUUAAAGGAGUAUAUACAAACUUUUUGUGGACAGGACAAGAUAUGCUCCCUCAACUCUAUUUCCUCAACAAAAACGGACUAAAAUUCUUUUUUUUCCAUUAAAUUUCAGUAUUCUAAUACAAACAAUAGAAAUAUUCCUUUUGUUUUUACUCGGUCUACAACAGUUUAAUAAACUUUUAAUGUCGAAAGGGAUUUUAGAGAACAUCGAGUCUAACCUCUUCAUUUAAUGUGUGAGGAAAUUGCGUCUCACAGAAGACAGAGCUAGUGCCUAAAGGUAUAGCAGAUUAGAGUCGGAGUCCAAAAUCAAAUCAAAACAGAACUUCUGGUCUUCUGAUUUCUUCAUCUGUAACAUACUGGCUUGAAUGUAUUUCUUGUAUUCCGCAUAACCUGUUUUGUCACUGUGGGUUUAGGAGAAAACAGACACGGGAUGGGAACGUGAAGCCAAUGCCAGUUUGGCACUAGCAUCUUCAUGCAGAAUGGAAUUCGUGCACAAAGACUUUCACAAGAAUGGACAAAAGAAUUCUGUAAAGUGUCAAGGUCGGGACUGGAAAAAACCACUGCUUGCAAGCCCAGAAUCUGAAACCAGCUUUAUAAUAGACUUUAACAUAUGAUGACAUGGAAUACCCGAAAGCCCCCAAAGGCAGAAGUCUACAGUCUUUCCUUCUGACUUCUAAAAGCGCCUCAUGGAACAGUCCCCCAAGUUUCACUGGAAUGAGUUUCAGGUGAAUGGUGUACAUGGAACGCCUACACGUGCAGGUCUGCAAUAGCCAGUAACAUGUUUGAGGCCUAACUGUAAGGUACCUGACCACCUGCAGUGCAUUUGUUUGCUAACCAUGUCUAACGCACUCCCAUUUUUGUGCCUUGGUUCUACUCAUUUCUUCUACCAAAGAUGUAUCCUUUGCCUCACCACAGUGCUCUUAGCCCAUCCAAAUUUUCAUUCACUUGGAACUGUUCAACACUGCAUCCUGAAGUUAUAGUCUGCCUGCCUGAGGAAGUAAUUAAGAUUGCACAUAAUUACAGGCAUACCUCAUUUUACUGCAUUUCACAGAUAUUGCGGGGAUUGUGUUUUGUUUUUUAGAAAUUGAAGUUUUGUGGCAAUCCUGUGUCGAACCAAUCAGUGCCAUUUUUCCGGCAGCAUUGGCUCACUUUGUGUGUGUGUCACACGUUAGUAAUUCUUGCAGUAUUUUAAACUCUUUCCUUAUGAUGAUGAUCAGUGAUUACAGACUCAUUGAAAGCUCAGAUGAUGGUUAGCAUUUUUUAGCAAUAAAGUAUUUUUUAAAUUAAAAUAUGUCAAUUGGGGUGUUUUUUUCCUAGAUGUAAUGCUAUUGCACACUUAAUAGACUACAGUAUAGACAUGACUUUUAUAUGCACUUUUUGGUAAAACAAAAAAUUGAUUUGACUCCCUUUACUGUGAUACUCACUUUAUCCCAGUGAUCUGAAACCAAACCCACAAUAUAUGAGGUACGCCUGUAUCUGCUAAUAAUAUUAUAGAUUUAUGAAUUUGGUAUGGAGUUGCUGUAUAUGAGCUCUAAGAUCCUAUAUAGAUCUAAAAUGUUUUAUAAUUCUAUAAUCCCCUUAACAUAUGUAAUGUGGGAAAAUGUAGAUGAUUUUUAGGAAAGAUAGAAAAAAUAUUUCAGAUGUAAAUGCUGUAUUUGGGUUUAUAAUUGAUUAAUGUUACUUAUAAAUUAUGCUGUAUAUUUAGACAUUAUAUGUUAAUUUUAAAAAUUUACAGCUUGUGUCCAUAAAUGAAUUUUGGGAAUAUACUGCCAAGGGAAAUGUUUUUAAAAUAUUUAUUUUGUAACACUACUUGAAACAUUUUGCAGAGUGGAAAAUGUUGAAGGAGUAUUAGUUCAGUUUUUUAUGUUCACUAUUUCAAGGCUGUUAUCAUAGUACUUCAAUGAGAAAUAACCAAAAGUAACACUAUCCAUUAAAAUGAGUUUGGCGAAUUUCAUCCCUAAAUCAACCCAGAUAAAAAGAGGGGCAAAGUAAUAUUCUCAAGAUUACACUUCUAUAGCUUAUUAACUGGGAACAAAUGUUAUACCCUCAUUUAUACAGAACACUUUUGGCAGAUUCGCUUUUAGUUUUUUUAGUGUUUAUUUAUUUUUGAGAGAAAGCAUGCACACGAUCAAGCAGGAGAGGGGCAGAGAGAGAGGGAGAUAGAGAGUCCCGAGCAAGCUCUGUGCUGUCAGUGCAGAGCCCAAGGAGGGGACGAGGGGCUCAAACUCAGGAACAGUGAGAUCAUGAUCAGAGCUGAAACCAAGAGUUGGACACUUAACUGACUGAGCCACCCAGGAACCCCUUAAAAAAAUUUUUUUUUUACCAUUUAUUUUUGAGACAGAGUGUGGGUGCACACAUGUGUGUGUAAGUGGGGGAGGGGCAGAGAGAGAGGGAGAGAAUAAAAUUUGCUUUUAAAGAAAUAAUACCUUGGGGCGCCUGGGUGGCUCAGUAGGUUAAGUAUCCCACUUCAGCUUAGGUCAUGAUCUCCUGGUUCAUAAGUUCGAGCCCCUGCAUCAGGCUCCUCUGCACUGAGAAGGCAGAGCCUGCUUGGGAUAUUCUCUCUCUCUCUGCCCCUGCCCCACUCACACACUCUUUCUCUCAAAAUAAAUAGACUUUUAAAAAGAUAAAUAAUAAUUUGUACAUAAAUCACAUUCUAUAAAACAGGGCACUGAAGUAAUUACAGGCAAAACAUUUCAAGAAUCUAAAUUAUCCUUUAAAUAUUUGCAUGGAAAGUGAUAAAAUUCCUACCAGAUAAAUUGGAAGCAUUUAUUUACAAGCUAAAGUUUUAAAACAACUAAAACAAGUAAAAAGUAAACUAUUACAUAAUUUUUUACUUUUUUAGAUCAUUAAUCUCUUUGAGAACCUGUUGGAAGUUGUAGAAUUUUUCCCUCAGAAAAAUGUACAUACUAUAUAGCCUGUCUAUGGAUUGAGUAUUCAUUCAAAAUAUGUGAAUCAAAUGCCUGCUGUCCCAGGGACCCAGAAGUAAAUAGAGGCACAGGCUAUUUUUUGUUCAUGGAGCUUAUAUCAUAAAGACAGAACAUUUGAAGCCAAUAAUACAUAAGCAAGAGAAUCCCAGGUUUUGAUAUAUGCUAUAAUGAGAUUUCAGUUAAGAGAACCCCUAAUACAGGACAAAGGAAAAACCUCAAAUCUGCACUAUUUGUGUUUUGUUUUUGUUUUUUUUUAAUUUUAAGUUUUUUAUUUUGAGAGAGAGAGCAAGCAGGGUAAGGACAGAGUGUGAAGAGAGAGAGAAUCCCAAGCAAACUCCUCACUGUCAGCACAGAGCCUGAUGCAGGGCUCAAACUCACAAACCGUGAGAUCAUGACCUAAGCUGAAACCAAGAGUCGGCGCUUAACUGACUGAGCCACCCAGGUGCCCCUGUGGUAAUUUUUUUUUAAAAGAAUCCAUUUUAUAUCUCCUAAGAAAAGGUCAUUAUGUAACAAAAACUUUGAAAACAUGUAUUAAAUCAAAUACUGCAAAUAGCAUAAUAGGUAAGGUAAGUGUAUGAACUUUUAAAACCUGAGAUAAUGGACUUGGUGACAUAAACCUAACAACGUUGUAGACAUCAUGAUAUAAUUGGUUAGUAUAGGUCACAAAGCAAUUUCACAAUUCAUUUGGCUUUCAGAAAAUGGGGGGAACCUCCUAAAAUACAAACAUAUUCUGUCAUAUCCUGUUGCUUGCAGUGCUAGGGGCUGGGCUGUUUUAAAUGGUGGAAAAUGCACCAAGACUAGGGGUGCAUGGGUGGCUCAGUUGGUUAGGCUUCCGACUUUGGCUCAGGUCAUGAUCUCACAGCUUGUGGGUUCAAGCCCCGCAUCGGGCUUUGUGCUGACAGCUCAGAGCCUGGAGCCUGCUUCGGAUUUAGUGUCUCCCUCUCUCUCUGCCCCUCCCCAACUUGUGCUUGCGCGCUCUCUCUCUCUCAAAAAUAAACAUUUAAAAAAAAUGCACCAAGACUAAAGAUGAUGAAAGGAGAAAGACAAAUUUAUAAAAUACCAGCUAGUUGAAAUUAACAAAUUAGUGUUUAUUUCUGGAAACUUUUUUUUUUAAAUGUUUCUUCUAUUUUUCUUUGAAUUCUCCCUCCUGUCUUAUAAGCAGGGCAUGCUUUGUUUAUAAAGAUGUGUAGUGGGCUUAAAAAUGGAGAGUUUUCUAAAAUGUCCUUUACAGUUAGCGUGUUAAAAUUUAUUUUUAUUGUGCUAUUUGCAGCUUAUGUAGUAACCACAAUUAAAAUUUAAGUGUGUAAA